AGCUCAGCUGGUUUAGAGCAUCCCGACCCACAGGUCGGGAGGGUCGCAGGUUCGAAUCCAGCA
This 63-nucleotide transfer RNA is filed under the name Saprospiraceae bacterium. RNAcentral describes it as "tRNA-OTHER". Lineage: Bacteria; Pseudomonadati; Bacteroidota; Saprospiria; Saprospirales; Saprospiraceae. The record is from RNAcentral.